AUGACAUUCUCCUGGUAGCACAAGCCAGGAAACUUCUGCGAGACCUAGUGCUCCACUCUGGUUCUUGGUAGCCAGGUCCAGGCACUUCAAUUAACUUCCAGAAGAUGGCAGACCCUCCAGGAAUGCCAGAGCAAGAAACUGAUGUCUGACAACAGAGUGAGAGUUCAAAGAUUCUUUGUAGCAGACACUGUGAAUGAAGAACUUGAGGUUGCUAAGAGACUAAAAGCAAAAUAAAUUGUUUUAAUUAAAAGCCCAGAUCUUAGCUGGAGGAAGAGGAAAGGGUGAUAUGGUUUGGUUCUGUGACUUCACUCAAACCUUAUCUCAAAUUGUAAUCCCCACGUGUCAAGGAAGGGACUCGGUGGGAGGUGAUUAGAUCAUGGGGGUGGUUGCCGCAUGCUGUUCUUGUGAUAGUGAGUGAGUUCUCACGAGAUCUGAUGGUUUAAAAGUGUGGCACUUUCCCCUUCUUUCUCUCCUGCCACCAUAUAAAAAAUGCCUUGCUUCGCCUUCACCUACUGACAUGAUUGUAAGUUUCCUGAGGCCUUCCCAGCCAUGGAGAACUAUAAGUCAAUUAAACAUCUUUCCUUUAUAAAUUACAGAGGUAAUAUACAGCAGUGUGAAAAUGCACAAAUACAGAGCUCAUUGAAUAUGAAGUUGCCAGACAAGAUAUAAAAUACAUACGACUGGAUGGGAACAUUACCUGCUUUGUGAAUGGUGCUGGAUUAGCCAUGGCUACUUGUGAUACCAUUUUCCUUAGUAGUGGGAAGCCAGUCAACAUCUUGGAAUCGUGGAGGUGUUGUAAAGGAAGCUCAAGUAUAUCAAGCAUUCACAUUGCUCGCAGUUGAUCCUAAGGUUGAAGCCAUCCUUGUCAAUAUUUUUGGUAGUAUCGUCCACUGUGCUAUCAUUGCCAAUGGGAUCACCAAAGCCUUCCAGGCAUUAGAAUUGAAGGUGCUCUGGAAUGAACCAAUGUUCAAGAGGCCCAGAACAUACUCAACAAUAGUCUAACAGUGGACUCCCCAUUAUAUCAGCC
This 1027-nucleotide long non-coding RNA is filed under the name Homo sapiens (human). RNAcentral describes it as "non-protein coding lnc-CDH6-13:1". Lineage: Eukaryota; Metazoa; Chordata; Mammalia; Primates; Hominidae. The record is from RNAcentral.